Molecule: transfer RNA, 70 nt
Filed under: Dipodomys ordii (Ord's kangaroo rat)
Lineage: Eukaryota; Metazoa; Chordata; Mammalia; Rodentia; Heteromyidae
Rfam family: tRNA
About the family: Transfer RNA (tRNA) molecules are approximately 80 nucleotides in length. Their secondary structure includes four short double-helical elements and three loops (D, anti-codon, and T loops).
Source: Rfam by way of RNAcentral
GGGAAUGUGGCUUAGUGGUACAGCACUUGCUUGGCAUGCAUGAAACUCUGGGUUCAAUUCCUCAGUACCA